CUCUCGGGCCUCUGGGACCGUCACGACGCAUGCGUCGUCCGCGCGCUUCUGGUCUUCCACCGCUAGGUGGCGGGAAAGUCCGUUUUUGAGUCACGUGCCACAACCAGGCGGACGCUUCCGGUGCACGUCAAGUUCUGCUGAGGGGUCUGGUGCCUCGUUGCUUAACAUGGGGGCGAGGGAACCUUCUGUGUCGGCUCCGCUCGCCCCUGUGCCGGGCCAAGGAGCGCGCAGCAGAGCAGCUCAAUGUGCUGCGGAACCGUCUCCCUCUUCUCCCUGCCAGGCCGUGCGCAGCAAUCCCGGGCCCACCCCGCCUCCCUCCGCCUAAUGCUGAGACCCACCGUCUCCUCGUCGCCAUCCCCGGCAGCCCAGCCUGCUACUGGAGGGCAGCAUCCAUUCAGUGGCAGGAAAUCCUCAUUUGAUUAGAAUCCAACUUCUUGAACUACAGCUGCAAACUAAGGAAACACAGUAAAGAGCUAACAAGAAAACAUUGAACAAAAUACUGAAGCUAUUCUAUGAUUAAACAGUGCAGCUCUAAUGGCUUGGAAUUACCAAGGAGACUGAAGUAGCAAAUCACAAUAGUACCCUGCAAGUAGGGUAGCAUGUCAUGUUUGGUGGAGGCUUGCUAGCAACUCCACUCGGCAACAGCUGUUUUCAAGAGCAUGUGACAAGAAGAAACCUGCUUUAGUAAACAUGAUCUGAGCAACUUGUUACUCAGGUGGAUCCAAUACCAAUGCCUUUUCCUUGCUAUGUUGUUGCAUAAAUUUCUGAUGUUCUUUCUUGGUGGGUACACACAUUAAACCUGCCAUGCUGGUAGGUUAAUAGAUAAAUGACACAAAGCAUUUGGUUCUGUUGGAUAUUUUCAGAUGCAAACGUUUUUGAACGGCUCUGAAUUUUUCACAGUACAUCUUCCUAUUCUUAUUUUCUUAAUGGGGCGAGAGAGGAAGUGAAAGCAGAACACAAUGGAGGCCGGUUUCAUUCCUUGUGCAAGUCCAUUGACAGCAGAAGGAUUGUGUAAUAUGCAUGUUAUCUUGUGUAACGUUGCAGCAGGAAAGAAGCAAUGGAAAGUUGUAUAUUAUAUAAAUAUCACUCAUACAAGUUUGCUGGAGUACACACUUGCAUGGCAGGUGUAAAGGAGCACACAAGGUGCAAGUCCAUAAGGACAAUCAGGCCCUUGCAGUUGUAGAGUACUUGUUGUAAUUUAAAAUACAUCCGAGUUCUAGCACUGUUUACAUUCAUAGCAAUAUCAAUUGCCUUUCAGUGGAUAUAAGCAAUGUGGAGAUUGAUUUAUUUAUUCAGUAUACAUGGCAUCACACCUUUAUAUACUAUAUGGCAAUGUCCUUGUAUUG
This is a long non-coding RNA of Mauremys reevesii (Reeves's turtle), 1346 nucleotides long. RefSeq lists it as uncharacterized. Lineage: Eukaryota; Metazoa; Chordata; Testudines; Geoemydidae. The transcript is spliced from 4 exons. The record is from RefSeq and is a predicted model, not a curated record.